RNAcentral lists this long non-coding RNA (940 nucleotides) under Cricetulus griseus (Chinese hamster). Its description in RNAcentral is "lncRNA (ENSCGRG00015035358.1)". The record is from RNAcentral. Lineage: Eukaryota; Metazoa; Chordata; Mammalia; Rodentia; Cricetidae.
GUGAUCAUCACCCUUGAAGCUCAUCCAGCAUAAUAAUGUCUGGGUGUGUCCUGUCAGCUGACUUCCUGUUAAACGGCACGACACUUCCAGAUGCGUCUGUUUGGUUUCUUUACUGAGGUGACAUGUUGCCUAAGGGCCAGGGCCACACCUGACACCUCCCACGCCCUAUUCAGAGCUGAACGCAUUGCUGGUACUCAGUGACCGUAAUCAUUGUCUCUAAGGCAGUGUGAUGACCAUUCUUGGUUGUCAACUUGGUGACAUCUGGAAUUGAAGCAGCAGGAGACACAGAUACAGCAGCCAAGCGCAAGCCAAAGCGGGGAGGAGGGAACCGGGACCAGGGCCAGCAGAAGGAGAGAAGAAGAGCGUGUCCACGUGUCCGUGUCCGAGGUCCUCUUAAGAAGCCUUUUCUACGCCACCUUAGACUUCCCCUCACCCCGCCCUCACGGGCAUGUUCCGGCACACCUGUCCGGGUUACCAGGGGCGGGGCUAGAGUGUCUCCCUACAUGUAUGAGUUGUGAUGCGUGGAUGAGCACACCUACCACACCACCAGCAGUCACGUCAAAGGUUAGUACAAACCUCUAUGUGCAAAACCUGGGACUUGGUGAUGCCGAUGAACAUGUGUGCUGAUGGAUGAUGCAUGAACUGAACAUUUUGUCAUUGGAGAGUUCGUCCAGCUCAUAAAAUGCAAGGGUUUACUGUAAACAGUUAUGCUGAAUAGUUUUAUGUCAUCUGGGCACAAACUAAAGUCAUUUGAGGAAUGACUCAAUUGAGAACAAUGCCUCUCUAAGAUUGGGCUGUGGCAAGCCUAUAGGUCAUUUUCGGAAUUGGCGAUCGAUAGAGGAGGGCCCAGCCCAUUCUGAGUGGUGCUUUCCCUGGGCUGGUGAUCCUGGGUUCUAUAAGAAAGCAGGCUGAGCAAGCCAUGAGGAGAAGGCCAGCACCC